Molecule: long non-coding RNA, 882 nt
Organism: Mastomys coucha (southern multimammate mouse)
Lineage: Eukaryota; Metazoa; Chordata; Mammalia; Rodentia; Muridae
Exons: 5
Source: RefSeq, a predicted model, not a curated record
UGGGGCCGCGGUCCCCACGGCGACACCAGCUUCACCUGCACCUGGAGGGGAAACAAAGACACCCGGUCAGCACCACCGGCACCACCACCCCCGCCCCGGGCCGUAGGGGCGGGGGCGGCACCGAGUGGGGCCAGAAGCCCCGAGCAGGCACGCGCCAUCCCAUCGCCCCUACCGCCCCCACCGCCCGCCGCCCCAUUGUCGCGACUCCACGGACUCCCCCCCCCACCCCCCGUCCUCCACGAUGACGCCAUUUCUGUCAGAAGAAAACUCACAACAAGCCCGGGGUCCGGCGCGGCCUGAAGCGCGGCUGCAAACCCGUCCGAGCCUUACGGAAACGCGAUAGCCGGAGUCCCGGGACUGAGCCCUCCGUGAACCGGAGGGCCCUCCGGCUGCGGAGGCUCGGCCCCGCAGCGCCCGCCCGCCCGCCGGCGUCCCGCCCGAGCCAGGGCCCACAAGUGGGAGCCGGGACCAGGCGCCGAGGACAUCCAGCUCCCAGCACGGCCGGCCGAGGCCGCCGGGGCCCACGUCAGCAGAUGGCUCUAGUUACCUGGAUUUGCCAUCAAGUCUGACAACCUGAGUUGUUCUAUCCAUGAGAUUCACAUGAUGCAAGAGAACUGAGUCCCUGUUUCUAGAUCUUGUGGACUACACUAACCAUCACAGGUCAGCUUUGAAAUUUAUUAAACAUGGAGAAAAGUAAAGAGAAAGCUGAAAGAAUUCUUCUAGAGCCUUAUAGGUACUUACUUCAAUUACCAGGUAAACAGGUGAGAACCAAACUUUCACAGGCAUUUAAUCACUGGCUGAAAGUUCCAGAAGACAAGCUACAGAUUAUCAUUGAAGUGACUGAAAUGUUGCAUAAUGCCAGUUUACUCAUUGAUGAUAUUG